ACAGGAAGAAAAGUUUUUCUUCGAUUCAGAUGCAACUUCUUGUAAUCCACUUUGUGCCCGUUGCCUCUUGUCCAGGCACUGGGCAGCACUGAAAAGAGCAGGCUGAAGAGUCCCAGCUCUCUUGGUCCUUCCUUGCAGGAGAGAUGACCCUCUGUCUGGAAAAGAUAGRGCCAAACAYYGGAGCAGUCCUUUCCUCCUCAGGCACCCGUGCCCCAUCUUGCAAUCUUACUCCCAGUGCCCCGCACCAGCCCUGUGAAUAAAGGAGUGUGUAAUCCGCGAGCACAGAGUGCAGAGGCUGCUGCUCUCCCUCCAGCGAAGGCUGCCUGAGAAAAACCCUCUUUGCCCUGGGUGCUGCAGGGAGAGGAAGGAGGGGCUUUGUGGGAGAGGGGAAAGCCCAUCCGUUCUUGCCGGUAUUUGUUCAAGCGACUGCACGGGGUCAUUUCCCAUCUGUGUGUGCAUCUCAGCCUUCCUCCGUGUUUCCAGCUGGGCUGCACACAUCGCUACCUCUUGUCAAAUCUGCCUGCAAGCAUUUGAAAAGUGCUGCAACAGCAGGCACAAACUUGCUCUCACGCCUUGGCUGAGCCCCCCCUGCCCUCCCUGUCUGCCGUGCCAGGGUUACCCAGAGCCCCUUCCCCUGGGGAUGAGGUGCCGGGAGGUGCUUGGGGCUGCAGGGAGGUGCCUAGCAUGAGGGUGUCAACCAGGUCGUUCCCAUGCCAGGUGUUGAAAUCCACAAAGCGAGGGGGAGAGAGACAGAGGCACAAAAUGAGGCUCUAAUUCCUAGUCAGGAGAAAAAUGCAACUGUUGGGAGAGUCUCCCCAAAGCCUGGCAUGCACUUGCUGCCCCCCAAGGAGACGUACCUCCCUGGGACAUGUGUCCAUCACUGUUCCCAGGUCACACAGCCGUUGUGUCUGUGGGAAUCACCUCAGGUCCCCAUGGAGCACAAGGCCCCCUUUUCCCUUUCCCAGAGUGUCACCUGGCCGGAGGCUCUUUUCCCACCCCUUUCUCCCCAUUUCUGCCUCCAGAURGAUGGYACUUAUURCGGGUUGAAGGAGGAGGUGCAGCAAAGGGCGCUUCCUUAUAUGACAAGCAAAACCCCUUGGGACCUGUGUCUCAGUGAGUAUAUGAGCAAGGAUGCCAUGCAUCCCUACUUGCGCCAGGUGUAAAGGUGUCUGCAGUGGCCAUCUGAUUUUCCUGAGUGCAAAGGAAAGGAAGUUUAGGCACUUUCAGACUCCUCAAAGGAAAGAGCAGUUUKCAGGGCAGUCGUGGGAAGGGAUUCCCAUGGGAAAAGAUCCCUUGGAGGGUGUCAUCUGCAAGCGGGAGUGUGGGUCUGGCCAGAGAGCUGAUUCUUCACCGAGGCACUUGAGAUGUCCGCAAAUGGGCAGAGCCACAAUGGGCUCAUCUCACUGUGCUGGGCACCACGUGGCCUGCUGGCUGUAGUCCCCAGCCCAUGAGGGCGGCAGGAGUAGGUGCCCCCGGUCCGUGCCCUGGUCUGUGAAGGGCUCCUGCUCCACCAAGCUGUCUGUUUGUGGAGGGAUGGGGUUAGGAGAGCUAAAGCCCCUCUGGAAUUGAAUCUGGCAAGGGACGUGAAAGGCAACAAGAAAGGCUGCUCUAAGUCCCUAAGCAGCAAGGAUAGCGAGGGCAAAUGCGGUCCCGCUGCUCAGCGGGGUCCCAGGGUCCCUGRUGACAAAGGACUCAGAAAAGUCAGCGGUACUGAAUGCCUUCUUCACCUCCGUCUUUAUGGGUCUUUACUGCCACUUCCAUAAGAGCGAGCAAGGUCACUCCAUCCAAAAGGAAAGAUAACCAAGGAAUUCAUGGAAGACUACUUCCUAUCAUCAUGGAUGGGCCUAGAGCAUCCUUUUCAUUCACACACAUGGAGAAAGGACCAUCUUUGGGAAGAAGCAGCAGCCUGCGACAAAAGACUGCUUUCAAACACAUGCACAGCUGCUACACAGUUAAUAGCAACAGCUAUUAACUAGUCUCUGCACAGUCGUUCUCCUUUCCUCGCUCAGGAAUUUAGCUUUAGUCAAGGCAGAAACUCUGAAUGCAUCACCAGAAAUAUUUCAAACCGGACUGGGCUGUAAAAAAAGGAAACCGAGCACUGCCACACGGAAAGAGACCAGAAGAGCAGCAGAAGAGAGAGCUAUUCCUAUUCCUAUUCUUACC
Molecule: long non-coding RNA, 2163 nt
Organism: Apteryx haastii (Great spotted kiwi)
Lineage: Eukaryota; Metazoa; Chordata; Aves; Apterygiformes; Apterygidae
Source: Ensembl